GCAGUGGUAGUUCGGUGGCAAAAUUCUCACCUUCCAUGUAGGAAACUCAAGUUUAAUUCCUGGCCAAUGCA
This 71-nucleotide transfer RNA is filed under the name Loxodonta africana (African savanna elephant). It matches the Rfam family "tRNA". Rfam says of the family: Transfer RNA (tRNA) molecules are approximately 80 nucleotides in length. Lineage: Eukaryota; Metazoa; Chordata; Mammalia; Proboscidea; Elephantidae. The record is from Rfam by way of RNAcentral.